AUUGAACGCUGGCGGCAGGCCUAACACAUGCAAGUCGAACGGUAGCACAGAGAGCUUGCUCUCGGGUGACGAGUGGCGGACGGGUGAGUAACGUCUGGGAAACUGCCCGAUGGAGGGGGAUAACUACUGGAAACGGUAGCUAAUACCGCAUAACGUCGCAAGACCAAAGUGGGGGACCUUCGGGCCUCACACCAUCGGAUGUGCCCAGAUGGGAUUAGCUAGUAGGUGGGGUGAUGGCUCACCUAGGCGACGAUCCCUAGCUGGUCUGAGAGGAUGACCAGCCAACCUGGAACUGAGAAACGGUCCAGACUCCUACGGGAGGCAGCAGUGGGGAAUAUUGCACAAUGGGCGCAAGCCUGAUGCAGCCAUGCCGCGUGUAUGAAGAAGGCUUUCGGGUUGUAAAGUACUUUCAGCGGGGAGGAAGGCGGUGAAGUUAAUAGCUUCACCGAUUGACGUUACCCGCAGAAGAAGCACCGGCUAACUCCGUGCCAGCAGCCGCCGUAA
This 504-nucleotide ribosomal RNA is filed under the name uncultured bacterium. Its description in RNAcentral is "partial 16S ribosomal RNA". It matches the Rfam family "Bacterial small subunit ribosomal RNA", at positions 30 to 523 of the family's 1533-position model. The record is from RNAcentral.